UACGAAGGGGGCUAGCGUUGCUCGGAAUGACUGGGCGUAAAGGGCGCGUAGGCGGCCUCCUAAGUCGAACGUGAAAUCCCCGGGCUCAACCCGGGAACUGCGUCCGAUACUGGCAGGCUUGAAUCCGGGAGAGGGAUGCGGAAUUCCAGGUGUAGCGGUGAAAUGCGUAGAUAUCUGGAGGAACACCGGUGGCGAAGGCGGCAUCCUGGACCGGUAUUGACGCUGAGGCGCGAAAGCCAGGGGAGCAAACGGGG
RNAcentral lists this ribosomal RNA (254 nucleotides) under uncultured bacterium. RNAcentral's name for it is "partial 16S ribosomal RNA". It matches the Rfam family "Bacterial small subunit ribosomal RNA", at positions 524 to 777 of the family's 1533-position model. The record is from RNAcentral.